UAGGGAAUCUUCCACAAUGGACGCAAGUCUGAUGGAGCAACGCCGCGUGAGUGAAGAAGGUCUUCGGAUCGUAAAGCUCUGUUGUUGGUGAAGAAGGAUAGAGGCAGUAACUGGUCUUUAUUUGACGGUAAUCAACCAGAAAGUCACGGCUAACUACGUGCCAGCAGCCGCGGUAAUACGUAGGUGGCAAGCGUUGUCCGGAUUUAUUGGGCGUAAAGCGAGCGCAGGCGGAAUGAUAAGUCUGAUGUGAAAGCCCACGGCUCAACCGUGGAACUGCAUCGGAAACUGUCAUUCUUGAGUGCAGAAGAGGAGAGUGGAACUCCAUGUGUAGCGGUGGAAUGCGUAGAUAUAUGGAAGAACACCAGUGGCGAAGGCGGCUCUCUGGUCUGCAACUGACGCUGAGGCUCGAAAGCAUGGGUAGCGAGCAGGAUUAGAUACCCUGGUAGUCCAUGCCGUAAACGAUGAGCGCUAGGUGUUGGGGACUUUCCGGUCCUCAGUGCCGCAGCAAACGCAUUAAGCGCUCCGCCUGGGGAGUACGACCGCAAGGUU
RNAcentral lists this ribosomal RNA (549 nucleotides) under uncultured bacterium. RNAcentral describes it as "partial 16S ribosomal RNA". It matches the Rfam family "Bacterial small subunit ribosomal RNA", at positions 355 to 895 of the family's 1533-position model. The record is from RNAcentral.